GAUGAACGCUGGCGGCGUGCCUAAUACAUGCAAGUCGAGCGAACGGACGAGAAGCUUGCUUCUCUGAUGUUAGCGGCGGACGGGUGAGUAACACGUGGAUAACCUACCUAUAAGACUGGGAUAACUUCGGGAAACCGGAGCUAAUACCGGAUGAUAUUUUGAACCGCAUGGUUCAAAAGUGAAAGACGGUCUUGCUGUCACUUAUAGAUGGAUCCGCGCUGCAUUAGCUAGUUGGUAAGGUAACGGCUUACCAAGGCAACGAUGCAUAGCCGACCUGAGAGGGUGAUCGGCCACACUGGAACUGAGACACGGUCCAGACUCCGACGGGAGGCAGCAGUAGGGAAUCUUCCGCGAUGGGCGAAAGCCUGACGGAGCGACGCCGCGUGAGUGAUGAAGGUCUUCGGAUCGUAAAACUCUGUUAUUAGGGAAGAACAUAUGUGUAAGUAACUGUGCACAUCUUGACGGUACCUAAUCAGAAAGCCACGGCUAACUACGUG
This 497-nucleotide ribosomal RNA is filed under the name uncultured bacterium. RNAcentral describes it as "partial 16S ribosomal RNA". It matches the Rfam family "Bacterial small subunit ribosomal RNA", at positions 28 to 507 of the family's 1533-position model. The record is from RNAcentral.